Streptococcus pneumoniae 2070335 is the source of this 65-nucleotide non-coding RNA. The record is from Rfam. Lineage: Bacteria; Bacillati; Bacillota; Bacilli; Lactobacillales; Streptococcaceae.
AUUCAUGGUGACAUGGACACAUAGUAGUAAGCACACUAUGUGGCUUGGCAGAGCUAAAAACUGUU